Molecule: transfer RNA, 85 nt
Filed under: Felis catus (domestic cat)
Lineage: Eukaryota; Metazoa; Chordata; Mammalia; Carnivora; Felidae
Also listed under: 1 other name
Rfam family: tRNA
About the family: Transfer RNA (tRNA) molecules are approximately 80 nucleotides in length. Their secondary structure includes four short double-helical elements and three loops (D, anti-codon, and T loops).
Source: Rfam by way of RNAcentral
GCCUGGUUGGCUCAGUCGGUUGAGCAUCUGACUUUGGCUCAGGUUGUGAUCUCAUACUCCAUGAGUUCGAGCCCCACAUCAGGCU